AGGACUAACGCUGGCGGCGUGCCUAACACAUGCAAGUCGAACGAGAGUAGCAAUACUCUAGUGGCAGACGGGUGAGUAACACGUGGUCAACCUUCCCUAGCGUGGGGGAUAACUAGCCGAAAGGUUAGCUAAUACCGCAUGACAUCGUCGAGUGGCAUCAUUUGACGAUCAAAGGAGCAAUCCGCGCAAGGACGGGACCGCGUCCCAUUAGCUAGUUGGUGAGGUAACGGCCCACCAAGGCUUCGAUGGGUAGCUGGUUUGAGAGAGCGACCAGCCACACUGGGACUGAGACACGGCCCAGACUCCUACGGGAGGCAGCAGUGAGGAAUUUUCCGCAAUGGGCGAAAGCCUGACGGAGCGACGUCGCGUGUGGGAAGAAGGCCUUCGGGUCGUAACCACUGUCGAAGGGGAAGAUAUUGACGGUACCCUUGGAGGAAGCCCCGGCUAACUACGCGCCAGCAGCCGC
This 466-nucleotide ribosomal RNA is filed under the name uncultured bacterium. RNAcentral's name for it is "SSU rRNA". It matches the Rfam family "Bacterial small subunit ribosomal RNA", at positions 26 to 518 of the family's 1533-position model. The record is from RNAcentral.